GGCCAACCAGAGGCCAUAUUGGAAUCUAGUCGGCUUACACUUGGAUGGCACUGAGUGUCUGCCGUUCUGGUAGUCUCUAAAAAUCAUCUUCCAAACUUAUAUCGGAGUAUUCUUACACGACAUUCCCCUCAAGAGCCUGCCAGUUCUGAAAGGCACGUUGUCUCCGUGUUGUUGUGGAAAGAAUGAGUCCAACCGAUGCUAAACGAGGAGCUAAACGUAGGAAGAACAAGCGGGGCGGUGGCAGUAGCUGCAGUACUGUCUGCAACAGCAGCAGUGGCAAGGCCGGGGUUGUCUCGGCCCUAUGUUCUCAAGGAACGACAACACCUGUCCCUGCAGUAAGUUUUUUGACAUCCGAUUGCAGUGGAAAUGGGAAUAUAGCGUCAAUGGCUGGUCUGAAUGGAGAGGUUCCAAUGAACAAUAGUCUCACACCACAGUUCACAGAGGGGCCAGUCAAUGCUGACUUCUCAGGCGUCCUUCAGACCCCAUUCACCUUCGGUCUGAACCAGCGGGCACCCUACACGUCCGGUGACCGAUGCCUCUUGUGCCGCUGUGAACGCAAAGAAAGUGUCUUACAGUCUGAGACGGAGGGCUGCGGCCAGAAUGGCAGUGACCAGCCCACAAAGAACCCCAGUGCCCUACAGCUGCCCCUGUGGGUCUGUCCUGACUGCAGGCGCACGGUGGAGAAGGAGGACCGACAAACCGCUCUGGAGCAAUCGCUUGGGAGUCAGGACUUCCUCUUACACAUGCCUGUGGGUAAUGGAGGCCUGGUGCAGGAGCCCGCCCCCGCGGACAGACUGACCACUGCAGCGCCCGCCCUACCCAUGCUCCCGGCCCCCGACCUCACCACGCCAAUGACUGCAGACACUGUGUGCAGCUGUGAAGCCUGCAACGAAAGACGGGAGAUCUCGGCCGAGUCGGAGAGGGAGUCCCAGCAGCUGCAGAACCACUGGUCGGAGGUGAGGUACCUGGUGCGCUGCAUCUACCGGCAGACGGGAACCCCUCUGGGAGAGGACCACGACCAGCCGCUGGACAGGGACAAGGAGGGCAUGAAGGAGCUUGUGGAUAGGCUGUGCGAGAAGGACCCCUACCAGCUGUACCAGCGGCUGGAGCAGCAGGCCCGCGAGUACGUCCUGGAGAUGAAGGUGCGGCUGCUGAAGCACCUGUCUGCUGGCUCCAAGGCCGGGGCCGCGGUGGUGGGGUCCGGGGCAGCAGCAGCAGCCGCCCAGGGCCCGCCCCAGGCCCACCAGUUCGUCUCCCUGCUCCUGGACGAGUACAAUGCUCUCUGCCAGGCCGCACGCAGCAUCAGCAGCUUCCUGCUCACUCUGGAGAAUGAACACCUCCAGAAGUUCCAGGUGACGUGGGAGCUGCACAACAAGCACCUUUUUGAGAACCUGGUGUUCUCUGAGCCAAUCUUGCACAGCAGUUUACCUGCACUGGUUGCACAGCUGAAGCUGUGUACACACCAGCUUCCUGAUUGUGCCCCGUGUCUCGGCCCCGUCUCUGCUCCCAGACAGGGCUCGUCCUCUCAUGACUCAUACAGCGAGGACAUGUACGGCGCCCUGCUGGAGAGCUACCAGCAGCUGCAGCAUGACAUGGCCGCGGUGGCAGCCAAGUGGCAGCAGUGCGAGAGGAGGAUCGAUGACUACGUGGACGAGCAGCUGCUUUUUAAGGUGGAGGGUCAGAAUCUAACCAAUCAACGAACAGAGCCACACAAGUCUUUGAUUAGUAAAAACACACUGAAAACAAAACAGCAGAUGCUUAAAGAAGAUUGGGAGUUUUUUAAGCAAAGAAGAUUCAUAGAAGAGCAGUUAACGAACAGUAAAAAGUCCACUCCGGGGGAUAACUUCGAAGACACAAUGAGGAUGCUCUCCUCUCGGCUCAGCAUCCCAGAUUGUCCAAACUGCAAUUACCGAAGAAGGUGCACCUGUGACGACUGUAGCCUCUCCCACAUCCUCACCUGCGGCAUCAUGGACUCCCCGAUGGCCGAGGACCUCCACAUCAAGCUGCCCAUACACGGGGAGCCGCCCCGGGGCUACCUGGCCGAGGUGCACCCCCCCAGCCUGUCCUCCGGUAGCUCGGCCUCGGGCUCCAACUCCAGCUCCCCGGUCACCAUCCAGCAGCACCCCCGCCUCAUGCUGCCCCAGGGAGACACGCACAACUUCAUCAGCGACGACGACGAAGGACCGCCGAUGUCCACCAAGUUCGGGGACGUGUACGCCAUGGGUGCCUACGAGGACCACAGCGUCGUCACGGGUGCCGUGAACGGCCUGCACGCCGACCUGAACGGGGGAGGAGAGAGCGCAGAGCUGAAGGGUCUGAGCAGCAGCAGCAGCUCCUCGGAGGGCGAGGAGGAGGAAGAGGAGGAGGCCGACGGAGGGGGCGCCGGCGAGCCCCCCGGGCGUCCAAUGGACCACCCCUCUGGGACGGGCAACAGCCCCCCUCCCUCCUACAACCACCAGCUGGUAGAGCAGGCCCAGCACGCCUGCCAGUGCCACGUCUGCAGCCAGGAGCCCGGCUCCACCUCCUCCUCCUCCUCCGCCCUGCACUCCAGCCGCCUCCAGACCCCCGGCCCCCCGCCCGCGUUCGGACAGCAGUUCUUCACGGACACCAAGGCCCCCUCCUCCCACCCCGCGCUCCACCUCUACCCGCACAUCCACGGCCACCUGCCCCUGCACAACCUGUCCCACCUGCCCCGGCCGCUGCUCCACCCCACCCUCUACCCCCCCAGCUCGCCCCUCACACACAACAAGCCCCUCCCUCCGGCCCCCUCAUCGAACCACUCUGCGGCCAAGCAGCCGGCCUUCAGCCCCUCCCUCCCGGACCACGUCUACCAGAACUGCUUCGGUGCGGCGGGGGGCGGCACCGGGGACUGGAACAGCUCGCUGCAGUGCCUCUCGCUGAAGUUCGAGAACCUGUGGGACGCCGCAGUGAUGAAGAGCCUCAACACCUCCAUGCUGCUACCAGAGUCCCUUCCCGGUGACAUGCUCAGGCCCCCCCUCCCCGACGUGCCCCUCCCCCAGCCCUCCUGCUUCGGCGCCCACCGGGACGGCCUCUCGCUGGCCGCUCCUCUACCUCCUCCCUCCUGCUCCUCGUCCUCCUCGUCCUCCUCCUGCUCCACCUCCUCCAUGAUGGAGGCCAAGGAGCAGAAGAAGAGCGGCGCCAAGAAGAAGUGUCUGUACAACUUCCAGGACGCCUUCCUGGAGUCGCACCGCGUGGCCAUGGCCACCUCGGGCUCCACAGCCUCAGUGUCCUGCACCGCCACCACUGUGCAGUCAAGUAAUAACCCCACCCUCCACCUCUCAUCCAAAAGACCCAACUCUUUAGACGACGUGUUCCACAGUCUAGGCAAAGAGGACCACCGGCUACCCAGCCCGGUCGCCCCCAGGAACAGCCCCACGGGCCUGGCCUCCCUCCCCCUGCUCUCAGGUCCCAGCCUGCCCACGCCGCCCAACACCCACCUGCCCGCCAUGGGCUCGCAGCCCUUCCCGAGGAUGCCAACCCCCGCCCCCGGGUUCCUGGAGGCCCACCACCAGGGCCUGUGCCUCUCGCCCGCCGAGCCCCCCGCCCCCUCCAUCGACGGCCCCGUCAGUGCCCCGCCCAGCGUAUGCAGUGAUCCGGACUGCGAGGGCCAUCGCUGCGAGGGCAACGGGGCCUACGAGCACCAGCCCUACGACGGGGAGGAGAGCCAGGACGAGGACAGCUGCUCCGAGCACAGCUCCUCCACCUCCACCUCCACCAAUCAGAAGGAGGGAAAGUACUGUGACUGCUGCUACUGCGAGUUCUUUGGUCACGGAGGGCCCCCGGCGGCCCCCACCAGCCGUAACUACGCCGAGAUGCGGGAGAAGCUGCGCCUGCGCCUCACCAAGCGGAAGGAGGAGCAGCCCAAGCGGGAGGAGCAGCAGCCGGUGGUGGAGCGGGACGGGGGCGUGGAGGACCACCGGCGCGUGGAGGACCUGCUGCAGUUCAUCAACAGCGCCGACAGCAAGCCCACCUCCAGCUCCAAGGCGGCCAAGAGGGCCCGGCACAAACAGAAGAAGCUGGAGGAGAAGGCCCGGCAGGAGGUGGAGGCCCGCGAGCGCGAGGAGCAGCUCCUGGAGGACGAGCGGCGGCGGCGGCAGCAGCAGGACGAGGAGGAGGCGGAGCUCCAGCGGGAGCUCCUCCGGCUGCAGGAGCUGCAGCACCUGCGCGCCGCCAAGAAGAAGCGGCGGGAGCGCGCCAAGGAGAACACGGCGCCGCCGCAGAACAGCCCGCAGCCCCUGAGGCAGACGGCGCAGAACGUCCUGGAGAACCUCCACAACGGCAAGUCGCAGCUCCUCCACGGCCUCAUCCGCCUGCCCGGCCACAAGGAGCCCCGCUUCGAGGCCACGCCCCCGCCGCCGCCGCCGCCGCCGCAGCUCCACAAGCAGCACAUCCCAAAGAGCCCCCGGGAGAAGGCCACGCCUCCGGCCCCAGGCUCCCUGCCCUCCCUGCCCGCCUCCCCGCUCCUCAACGGCACCGCGCUGGCGUCGCACCCGGAGCUCCACGGCAAGUCCCAGGUCCGCUCGGCCUCCCGGACGGCGUGCUGCGAGGCGGCGGUCCGGAAGACGCCGGAGAAGCCCCGGGGCUGUGACGCGGCCGGGCCGCUGACCAACGGCACCGCGCCCGCCACCUCCGCCGCCGCGCCCCACACCAAAGCAACGCAACCCAGGGCCGCCGCGGAGGCUCUGACCCCCCUCCCCGCCGCGGCCCAGCCCGGAAGAGAGGACCCGCAGCAGCUCCACCACCAACACCAUCACCUCCUCCACCACCACCACCGGGUCGUCAGCGGGAAGAGGCAGCACCAGAGCCACGCCCCCCCAGCGCCGCCUCCUCCUCCUCCUCCUCCUCCUCAUCAGCCCAUUACCCCCAGGUGAGGGAGGAGAGAAGGAGCCCACCUGUGUUGAACCACCGCCACCACUCAUCCUCCUCCUCAUCGUCACCCCCGCUGCCGCCGCCGCUGCCGGCCGGCCAAUCGGAGCAGCCCCAGCAGAACGGCAAGCCCCCCAAGGCGGAGUCGCCCCAGCCCAAAGGCAAGGCCAAGAAGAACAAGAAGAAGAAGGGGGACAAGAUGAACAGCUCCAUUGACGACGUAUUCCUGCCAAAAGACAUCGAUCUGGAUAGCACUGAAAUGGAUGAGACUGAGAGAGAGGUUGAGUAUUUCAAAAGGUUCUGCUUGGACUCUGCCCGUCAGACCCGCCAACGGCUUUCAAUCAACUGGUCCAACUUUAGUCUAAAGAAAGCAACGUUCGCCGCACACUGAGGACGUCUGUGAGUGACUUAUGGCUGUGUGACGUUAUCAGCCCCCCCCCCCCCCCCCAUGGCCGGGCUCGCAACCCCACCCCCCACCUCUUGUACCCCCAGACACCACACCCCACACCAUUCUGGCCCAUCCGUCGUGCCCCGCCCUUCUUUUCUGCUGUGCCCAAAUCACACACACACGCUGCCUUGCUUUGCUCCCGCCGCUGCUUCGUGGGCCAGCCACACCCUCCAUCGGAUUGAUCUUGAAAAGAAAAAAAAAUACACAAAAAUUAUGCGAUAAGAAAACGAUUAUUAUCGACACACAAAAAAAAACAUGAAAAAUCUGCUACCUUCUGAUGAAUUUUCCUUGCGUGCUUGUGUGCUUUUCAGUCCAAAUAGGGGGUCGGUGUCUCUCUCUCUUGCUCUCUAUCUCUCUAUCUCUCUCUCUCUCUCUUGACCGAAAAGCCAUGUUCUGAAAGUUAUCGUUUCUGACAUUGGCUGAUCUGUAGUCAAAAGUGCUAACUAUGUUUGGAUGGAAUCCUUCCAAAAUAAAAGAGACACAGACA
RNA transcript from Gadus morhua (Atlantic cod), 5822 nucleotides. It is a transcript of the gene named family with sequence similarity 193 member A, with no coding region annotated. NCBI's taxonomy places the organism in Eukaryota, Metazoa, Chordata, Actinopteri, Gadiformes, Gadidae. The transcript has 23 exons. The record is from RefSeq and is a predicted model, not a curated record.